GAUGAACGCUAGCUACAGGCUUAACACAUGCAAGUCGAGGGGCAGCAUGAACUUAGCUUGCUAAGUUUGAUGGCGACCGGCGCACGGGUGAGUAACACGUAUCCAACCUUCCGUUUACUCAGGGAUAGCCUUUCGAAAGAAAGAUUAAUACCUGAUAGUAUGGUGAGAUUGCAUGAUAGCACCAUUAAAGAUUUAUUGGUAAACGAUGGGGAUGCGUUCCAUUAGGUAGUAGGCGGGGUAACGGCCCACCUAGCCGACGAUGGAUAGGGGUUCUGAGAGGAAGGUCCCCCACAUUGGAACUGAGACACGGUCCAAACUCCUACGGGAGGCAGCAGUGAGGAAUAUUGGGUCAAUGGGCGAGAGCCUGAACCAGCCAAGUAGCGUGAAGGAUGAAGGUCCUACGGAUUGUAAACUUCUUUUAUACGGGAAUAAAGUAUCCUACGUGUAGGAUUUUGUAUGUACCGUAUGAAUAAGCAUCGGCUAACUCCGUG
Molecule: ribosomal RNA, 491 nt
Filed under: uncultured bacterium
Lineage: Bacteria
Description: bacterial SSU rRNA
Rfam family: Bacterial small subunit ribosomal RNA
Source: RNAcentral